This 74-nucleotide transfer RNA is filed under the name Candidatus Collierbacteria bacterium RIFOXYA1_FULL_46_24. RNAcentral's name for it is "tRNA-Trp". It matches the Rfam family "tRNA". Rfam says of the family: Transfer RNA (tRNA) molecules are approximately 80 nucleotides in length. RNAcentral also lists the same sequence under 3 other names. Lineage: Bacteria; Candidatus Collieribacteriota. The record is from RNAcentral.
AGGGUCGUCGUUCAGCGGUAGGACAGAGGUCUCCAAAACCUCUAACGAAGGUUCGAUUCCUUCCGACCCUGCCC